AAAAAACUGAUCUUGGAUGGCCCGAGGGAAACGGACUCUUUGUGAUGUGACCAUUGCUGAGAUGCCCUGAAAAGAUCAGUGAUGUUGUGAAUGCCUAAAAUAACUGUAUUUUGAUUGUACUGAGAUAAGUAUGAAGUUUUUAUCAAAGUUCACAUAGUACAGCAGUUCCUCCUCCUGCAGUGCAAGGGUGGAGCGCAGUUCUUGGAUCAGUUCCAACCGUUUCUCUCUUCCCUCGAACAUCUGUCAACCAUUAGACUUCAUCCUUUCACAUC
Long non-coding RNA from Carassius auratus (goldfish), 272 nucleotides. RefSeq lists it as uncharacterized. The record is from RefSeq and is a predicted model, not a curated record. NCBI's taxonomy places the organism in Eukaryota, Metazoa, Chordata, Actinopteri, Cypriniformes, Cyprinidae. The transcript has 3 exons.